UACUUACCCAAGAUUUGAACCAUUGCCUUCCUAACCUCCAUUAAAGGAUAAACUUGAAUAUUUCACUUAAAAUAGAGUUUCAAAUAUCCUUCUGUUUUGAGAUUGGAUCUCCAAGAAUCCAAGCCUCUCUUUGAUCAAUUUCACUUCCUACAAGCUUCUAGAGUCAAGCCAAGCCAAAUCGGAAGCAAGAUCAAGCUGAUUUGAAGCUAACCGAAGGUGAAAUUUCAGGAACUUAUCUUCUUCGAUUCU
This 249-nucleotide long non-coding RNA is filed under the name Lathyrus oleraceus (garden pea). RNAcentral describes it as "Pisum sativum (pea) long non-coding RNA (PSAT_LNC005212)". Lineage: Eukaryota; Viridiplantae; Streptophyta; Magnoliopsida; Fabales; Fabaceae. The record is from RNAcentral.